This is a long non-coding RNA of Portunus trituberculatus (swimming crab), 1060 nucleotides long. RefSeq lists it as uncharacterized. NCBI's taxonomy places the organism in Eukaryota, Metazoa, Arthropoda, Malacostraca, Decapoda, Portunidae. The record is from RefSeq and is a predicted model, not a curated record. The transcript has 2 exons.
UUUAUAUAAGUCGAUUUUACAGAGGGAGAAGAAUUUUUAAGUUAUUGUUUUCACUGCUAUUGUUUGUUUUCUAAUAAGUUUUUGUCUAACUACCCUUUCAGUACUGAGACGCCUUUUUAACCACGAGUCUGGGUACCAUUUCACGAUUUUACUCACGUUUGGAAGGGUGAGAGGGUUACUGGCCAAAGUCUUCACUAUUUCAAUCCUGUACAUAAGUUUGUGUGUGUGUGACAUCAGCAUGUGUGGAACCUUCUAUUAUCUGUGAAAACUGUGUGUCUCUCUCUGUCUGUGUGUGUAUGUGUGUGUGUGUGUGUGUCGCUUCACCCAACAUUUAUAGCUAAGGACGUCUCUGGCAAGAACUGAGCGACCCCUGCGCGUUGGGAGACCUCGCUGUUCAAUGACCAUUCCAUUCGCCGCUCCUGCCUGACCUGACGACGCGUUGUCCCUUCCCGCCACCGCCGCUAUCAUCCCCUCGACGCCUCCCACCACCACCACCAAUAGCACCAGCAGUAGUACUUCAGCAGCUGUCCGCUCACUGGCAGCGCUGACGGCGUGCUGCUGCUGCAACGUGUGAGGCUCAGCUACUGCACCAGGAAGGAGCUGCAUGACGGCUUCCAUGGUGAGAGUGCGCCCACGUACUGCGGGAGAUGUAUAACAGCCACCCACUGCUGCAUUACCUCCUGUCCUGCCCGGCGACUGCCGCCCUCAGAUGAGCGCGGCCACCACCCGAUCGGCACCCGCCCAUGCAGCCUGAAGCCCGCGACCUUCUCACCAACCGCGAGUCCAGGCAACCAGGUUUUCCUUCCUCGUCCGCCACACGCCCACAGACGUGAUGCUGCGGGCGAUAAGGGCGGCACUCCCGCCUCACUAACACAGCUGCCCGCCACAGCUGCGGCAGCUCAGAGGAUGGAGAGCAGCUUAUCAUCUCGCCACUCCACCGGCGGCGGGCUGGUGCCUCAUUGGAGUAUUUGAGUGUACAUGUAGUCUGUCAUUGUGUAUAUAUCUAUGUACGUAUGUAUAUCUUGUAGACUAUUGCUCAAUAAACCUUUAACAAGUAACA